AACCUUGUGCAGUGGCAUUAUCGCAAACAAUGAGGUCAUAACCGAGUUGCGAUUAUUGCUACACUGAAAAAAAAGACCAAGUUCUAAAAUCAAGAACAUUCAUCUUAAAUAUUUUGUUCUUAAAAUUAGAUUAUUUUA
Molecule: small nuclear RNA, 138 nt
Organism: Drosophila innubila
Lineage: Eukaryota; Metazoa; Arthropoda; Insecta; Diptera; Drosophilidae
Product: U4 spliceosomal RNA
Exons: 1
Source: RefSeq, a predicted model, not a curated record